Molecule: ribosomal RNA, 433 nt
Filed under: uncultured bacterium
Lineage: Bacteria
Description: partial 16S ribosomal RNA
Rfam family: Bacterial small subunit ribosomal RNA
Source: RNAcentral
AACGAACGCUGGCGGCAUGCCUAACACAUGCAAGUCGAACGAGACCUUCCUGUCUAUUUGCGCUCGUGUGCUUACCACGUGGUAACCUGCCCUUAGGUUCGCUGUCCCUCCCCUUAGGGUAUCCUCAUACCAGUUGAUGUCUUCGGGCCAAAGAUUUAUCGCGUUUGGAUGGGCACUCGUUGGUUUAGCUAGUUGGUAGGGUAAAAGCCUACCAAGGAGACGUUGCAUAGCUGGUCUGAUAGGAUGAUAAGCUACACUGGCACUGCGACACGGCCCAGCCUCCGACGGGAGGGAGCAGUGGGGAAUAUUGGACAAGGGGCGAAAGCCUGAUCAAGCAAUGCGGGGGGAGAGAGGAAGGGCUUAGGGUUGUAAAGCUCUUUUACACGGGAUGAGAAUGACAGUACCGGGAGAAGAAGCUCCGGCUAACUCCGUG